Long non-coding RNA from Triticum aestivum (bread wheat), 4517 nucleotides. RefSeq lists it as uncharacterized. Lineage: Eukaryota; Viridiplantae; Streptophyta; Magnoliopsida; Poales; Poaceae. The record is from RefSeq and is a predicted model, not a curated record. The transcript is spliced from 8 exons.
UUCGUCGUCCUAUCGAAAACACCUCGAGGGAACCACGCCACGCCAACGCCAUCGCACUCGCAUCCUGCCGCCGCCGCUCCCUGCGCUACCUCGACGGAAGCCAUCUCAAAUCCAUCCCUUCGCCGCCGCCCUCGCGCUCACAUCAAGGAUCGAGGCCUCCAGAGUAUCCUCGAUCCCCGCGUUACCCGUUCGCCGCCGCCGAUCCCGCCGCCGCGGGAGAGGAUGAGCUGAUCUCCAUGGCCAGAUGAGGGAGGAAUACGGGUGACGGGAUGGAUUUGGAUCUCAAGGUGGGGAGGCCAACGUAGCCGCCCCUAGCAGAGGAUUUGGAUCUGAUGGAUUUGGCUGCGUCGACCAGCAGAGGACAGCCGCCGGCUCGGCUCCUCCACCACGAAGCAACCUCCUUCCACCCCGUAACCGCCGUCCGAAACCCUAGCAAUCGAGCCCCACCCAUGGCACCCUAGGUGGUACAGCGGCCAGAGGAGAGGAGGUGGAGCAGCCAUCGCCUGGACAUGAGCAGCAUCUUGGGCAUGCAUCCAUUGAGGACGUGAGGAGAUUGGAGGAAAAAAUAUCAGAAAUCGGAGACAUGACGUUUUGGUUCAGUUCUGGAUCAUUUUCUUUUUUGGUUCAGUUUAUAAAAGUGGUUGUUGUUUUAUGUUGCUGCUAGCCAUCAGAAAACGAGUUCACAGUAGGUUUCCAUCCUUAUUUCUUUCGCAGAUUUAUUCACCUUAUUGGGACGGUGGGGUUAAUAUAUAUACAUCAAUUUUGAGCAUCGGCAACGCAUGAAGCUUGCUUCUGAGGCUGCAACAUACUUUACAAUCCCCCUGUGAAACAUACUUUUGUCACUAUGCACAUAUGGUUAUUUGAACGAAUUGAUGUCGAUUAGACUAUCUUUUUCCUAAUUACUUGUUAUAUGACAUUCUUUACUAUUCAGAGGUUGUUGAAGGGAGAUGGGGCUCUUCAGGCCCCUUUGGUGCAAAAGCACAAGCAGCAGCAUCUACAGCUGACCGCUCAUAGCCUAGGAUGUCCUGCAGAUUUGAUCUAUUUUGGAUAGAGCACAUGGAAUCAAACCACAGGUAAUCAAUUUGCUAUAUUCACGUGAUUAGCUAUAAGGAAUUUAUUACCUCUGUUUUAUUUGCAGGAUACCCAAGCAGUGCGUACAAAUUGUAGUGGUGCUUGUAGCUUAUCAUCAACCUGCCAUUAUUAUUUGUGUGUAUGUGUUCCAAACGACCACUCUAGGGAUUCUUGAUUUGCUCCUAGCUGCACCGUUGGGUUUCUCGCAGCUUUGUUUCGUUUGAGUUCUGUUGUUCAUACCAGUCUAAUUCGCCAACAUCAGAUUUCUAAUAAUGCUUUCAACCUGGACAGUCUGAUGUGAGCAAGUUUCUUGCCCUAUCCAUGCGUCAACCAGCAAUUUCUUGAUCCAGGUGCCCCAUGCCCUAUAGGGAAGCAGAAGAGCGUCAACAUCGGCGCCAGCCGCCCCAAUGUGGGAGGAAACAGGCGGAUGCACGCGAGUUGCUCGGCGCCUUCUUCUUCUUGAAUAAAUUCAUGGUGGUGAUGGACCUUUAUCUGCCCAAUGUUCUCAUGGAGUUUUCAUGCAACUAGCAGGUCGUCCAUGUUGUUCUUUAUGCAUUUAAAAAAAUACUAAUUAAAGGGAAAGGCAUGAAUGUGUAAGUUUUGCAGCAGUAGAUUCAGAGUGGGUUAAAAAAAAUUAUACAAUUCUUCAACCUCUUAAGAAUUAUGCAAUCAUCUCCUCGGAGUAGUGAGGAGGGCAUGCGUCAGAGGCCUGUCGACAGAGGAAGUGCAUGUUUGUAUUUCAUCAGGGGGAUAGUUGUGAGCAAUGCAUACAUCUAGGUUUCCUAUUUUUAUUUUAGAGACAAACAACUUAGUUGUGGGAUUGUCGUGUUAGUUUUUCAAAAUGAAAAUUCAGUGAUGAUCAUGUUUUAUCAGCACAGGUUCAGAGAUAACUUUAAUGAGUAAACAAAUAAUUUUCAUGCAGGUCAGUUCUGAUGUGUGUUGAAUAGCUCAAUUUUGUUUUGAUCUGCUACGUUUAGUCAUUGUUUGCUCUAGCAUCAACACUAACUGUCACACGCACGCCGCCCCAUGGACGCCCCUGACUGAGGUGCGGGUCGGUGCUUGCUGUCGGUCCAUCCGCAUCGGCGCAGUGGCAUGUACCCCUUGAAAGCUUUGAAGCCUGAAAAAGCCGCAGGACCAGAUCUUCCCAUCAACCUGAAGAUGUGAAGUACGCUGUGUCUCCCGGUAUUUCUGUUGCUUCCGCUGGAUGACGCUCUAUUGUCGUUGUUGCCUCAGCCCUCCCAAUUGUCAUGUUCUUCCCUUCUCUUGCUGCUCGAUGAAGUUGGUCAUGCUGCUAGCUUUGCAUUCUAUGGAGUCUCUAUCUCUACCUAUGAUAAAUUCAGUAUCGUUCUACACACGUGUUUGUACCAAUCCAAGCCCUGGCUGAUGAUAUAGUUUUGACUUGUAAUGAUCUGACUAUGUAUUACCUUUUAUGGGAUGUAUGUAUGCCAGUAUACAUGAUUAAGUUCUAGGCAAAAGAGGGUGUCAUAUUUUAUCUCGGUGUGGAACAUCAUCUUUUAGUUGAACCUAGAUGUUUAUUCAAUCUGAAUUUAGAUGUUUUAUUUAGCAUGUACUAGCUAGCUUGUGAUUUCCUAUGCUGCAAACUGUAACUAAUUUUCUUUAGCUGCUGGCUUUGAUACUAUAGAUGACUGGAGCACCUUGUGGUGACUUUGUUCUGCUCGCGAUGUAGUUCUAGAGCAGCUUCAGCGGCAAGAUGCCAUAGUUUCCUAAUUACUACGAUGAUUUGCUGGAUGAGGAGGUGGGUGAGAUGAUGCACAAGGAGGUUGUCGCCGGUCAGAGGAGGAGGGCGACAAGGCUGGAGAGCCGAGGCAGAGGCUUACGGGGAAGAGAAGAAACGACACCUUAUACAUAAAGGAUACCCGCUCCCAGGUGCCAGGAGGACAGCCGUGGCUGACGGAGAUUACAGGAUAAGAGUGUCGAGGAAGUUAACACAUGAAGUAAUCAUAUGAUUCUACCAUGACUUAGUGCUGCACAUAUGUUGAGGUAUGCUCGGAUCACUUCUAGAGAUCUGGAGAGGAAAGUUUGUUCCUUCCUUACAAGAGCCAUAUAAACAAUAAGGAAAAGCUCUUUCCUAGCAUAAGGUGAAUCUUGUAUAGUUUAAUUUGGGUAUAUUUUCUUAUAAAUGUGUAUUGUUGCAUACAUAAAUUGUCUCAGUUAGACGAACAAUUUUUUAUUUAGCGGUGACAUACUUGGGACACCAGGAAUAGGAUUGCGGCAGGGUUGGCCAAAGGACUGCACUACUUGCACUUUUUGUACAGCCCAGGAUACCAUAUUGCAACCUAAGGCCAUUGGUAAUUCAGUUAAAUAUAUAUAUUCUCAUUUUUCAGACUUCAGUCAUCAAUUUAGUUCAAUCUGUUAGCUUACUGAUUGCUGCAUAACUACCAUUUCUCAAAUUUACAAUGCGGUUUCUGUGUUGAUUUCAAAAUGGUGAGAUAUAGUUAGUUAUUCACAUUUUAGCAGGGACAAAUCUUGAUUCUUAAAUGCAGGCUAACUGUCAAUUAAUCUUUUAUGUAUAAUACCAACAUGUGUCGUGAUAAUAUAAGAAUGCAACAUUGUAGUGCCAUAUAAUCUAUCAUUUUUUUGGAACCAUAAGCAUGCAGCAUGUACUGCCAAAACUAUUUAUCAUAUGCUGUCAGAGAGAUCUAGCUCAAUAUGGGUUCAGAAGGAAAUUGUCAAAGAUGAAGUGGUACACAUCUACAAUUAUAGUAAAUUUUCUUUAGGGAUUCUAUUACCAAGAAGCACUUGAGUGGUUUGCUCCAUGGUAUAACUAACGAGCAUUUACUGGCUUCCUUCGUUAGUGUUUAUUUGGCAACGGGCAAAGCCAAGGCGUCGCCGGCGAUGCGCUAUCGUUCAGGCGCAUCAUCAAGGCCCGUCUUGACGUGAGCAUGAGGUUGCGUGCUGAAUAUCAUCUCUGUCGGCUGCACCUUGAUCGAUAGGAUGGAAGAUGAGAUGUGUGGACCACCGUUUAUUGGUUGCAGAGAAUUUUUUGUGGGGAGGUGAGACUAUGUAUGUGGGCUAGGAAAGUGCGUCGUCUGUUUCAGUAGCGGUUUCAGAAGCGGAAGAGCAAACAAUUUCGGGCUAGACGGCUGGCGUUGAGUCUUGACUGUUAGGCUUACGGAACUGCUGGAUGAGAGUAUAGUAGAGGCAAGCAUAGCCCAGCGAACAAAUAGGAAAAAUAAAAUAAUUGAUGAUGGAGUUUAUAGGUCAGACCCGAGGAGGUGGGCUUGAGUGGGACUGCAUGAGAUAUGACGUGGCUCGAUGUGAUUAGAUGCGGAGGUGUCUAUGCUGCAUGUUGAGAUAAAUCAAGGAGUGGGGGUGAACAAAUUAAGUAGCAACGCAUGGGUAUUACACCCAAUGUAGUGCCAUAAAUCUCAUCGUAUUGUAUAACCCUCAUCUCAUUGUAUUGUAUAUAUUCAUAUAUUGAUGCA